CGACUGCUGAGGAGUCCCACAAUAGGACGAAACGGCCGUCCAGUGC
Non-coding RNA from Schistosoma curassoni, 46 nucleotides. The record is from Rfam. Lineage: Eukaryota; Metazoa; Platyhelminthes; Trematoda; Strigeidida; Schistosomatidae.